RNAcentral lists this long non-coding RNA (306 nucleotides) under Citrus maxima (pomelo). RNAcentral describes it as "long non-coding RNA (CMAX_LNC002617)". The record is from RNAcentral. Lineage: Eukaryota; Viridiplantae; Streptophyta; Magnoliopsida; Sapindales; Rutaceae.
CUAGUCCAUGAUCUAUCUGAUCAUAUUGGCACAAUCUAGAAAAUUAAACAAUCUACAAUAUAACCUCCAAUCAGAGCAUGCCAUAGACACACUCCUCUCAUCCAAUAGAGGAUCAAAGCAACAUUUGUGCUUCAUUCACAUGCAUUGAAUCCAGGAAACAUCUCUUCCUUUUUGUAAACUGAUUCUAUCUUUCCCAAUGUGACAACACAAGUUUAUCUCAAUGUAACCCCACCAGGUUGAAGAGAGAGAUACCGAAGCAGAAACACCAACCAUGAAAUACCAUGACACCAACAGGCAAUUCAAGGU